This 254-nucleotide ribosomal RNA is filed under the name uncultured bacterium. RNAcentral's name for it is "partial 16S ribosomal RNA". It matches the Rfam family "Archaeal small subunit ribosomal RNA", at positions 474 to 727 of the family's 1478-position model. The record is from RNAcentral.
UACCAGCACCCCGAGUGGUCGGGACGUUUAUUGGGCCUAAAGCAUCCGUAGCCGGUUCUACAAGUCUUCCGUUAAAUCCAGCUGCUUAACAGAUGGGCUGCGGAGGAUACUAUAAGACUAGGAGGCGGGAGAGGCAAGCGGUACUCGAUGGGUAGGGGUAAAAUCCGUUGAUCCAUUGAAGACCACCAGUGGCGAAGGCGGCUUGCCAGAACGCGCUCGACGGUGAGGGAUGAAAGCUGGGGGGAGCAAACCGG